RNAcentral lists this ribosomal RNA (2649 nucleotides) under Triticum aestivum (bread wheat). RNAcentral's name for it is "partial small subunit ribosomal RNA". The record is from RNAcentral. Lineage: Eukaryota; Viridiplantae; Streptophyta; Magnoliopsida; Poales; Poaceae.
AAAGAGGCAUUAUUUUCAUUCGAGGACGUGCCUUCCUCUUUGCCUCCUGCUGUCACUAAUAUUUUGCAGGAGUUCGCUGACGUCUUUCCACAAGACGUGCCACUGGGAUUACCGCCUAUUCGAGGGAUUGAGCAUCAGAUUGACUUAAUUCCCGGUGCUUCACUGCCAAACCGUGCACCAUACCGUACCAAUCCAGAGGAGACGAAGGAGAUUAUGCGUCAAGUACAAGAGCUUCUCGACAAAGGUUAUAUACGUGAAUCCCUUAGUCCUUGUGCUGUUCCUAUUAUUCUAGUGCCGAAAAAGGAUGGUACAUCACGUAUGUGUGUUGAUUGUAGAGGCAUUAAUAAUAUUACUAUUCGUUAUCGUCAUCCUAUUCCUAGGCUAGAUGAUAUGCUUGAUGAAUUGAGUGGCUCUACAAUAUUCUCCAAAGUUGAUUUACGUAGUGGAUACCAUCAAAUUCGUAUGAAAUUGGGAGAUGAAUGGAAAACAGCAUUCAAAACUAAGUUUGGAUUGUAUGAGUGGUUAGUCAUGCCUUUUGGGUUAACUAAUGCACCUAGUACUUUCAUGAGAUUAAUGAACGAAGUUUUACGUGCUUUCAUUGGACGAUUUGUGGUAGUUUACUUUGAUGACAUAUUGAUUUAUAGCAGAUCUUUGGAAGGACAUUUGGAACAUUUACGUGCUGUUUUUAUUGCUCUACGUGAUGCACGUUUGUUUGGUAACCUUGGGAAGUGCACCUUUUGCACCGACCGAGUAUCUUCUCUUGGCUAUGUUGUGACUCCACAGGGAAUUGAAGUUGAUAAAGCCAAGAUUGAAGCUAUUGAGAGUUGGCCGCAACCCAAAACGGUCACACAAGUGAGGAGUUUUCUUGGCCUCGCUGGAUUCUAUAGGCGUUUUGUGAGAGAUUUCAGCACCAUUGCUGCACCUCUCAAUGAGCUUACAAAGAAAGAUGUGCCUUUUCUUUGGGGUACCGCACAGGAAGAAGCCUUCACGGUAUUGAAAGAUAAGUUGACACAUGCUCCUUUACUCCAACUUCCUGAUUUUAAUAAGACUUUUGAGCUUGAAUGUGAUGCUAGUGGAAUUGGAUUAGGAGGUGUGUUAUUACAAGAUGGCAAACCUGUUGCAUACUUUUCUGAAAAAUUGAGUGGGCCUAGUCUGAAUUAUUCUACUUAUGAUAAAGAAUUAUAUGCUCUUGUUCGGACUUUAGAAACAUGGCAACAUUAUUUAUGGCCCAAAGAAUUUGUUAUACAUUCUGAUCAUGAAUCUUUGAAACAUAUUAAAAGUCAAGCUAAUCUGAAUCGUAGACAUGCUAAAUGGGUUGAAUUCAUUGAGACUUUCCCUUAUGUCAUUAAACACAAGAAGGGAAAAGAAAAUGUUAUUGCUGAUGCAUUGUCUCGUCGCUAUACUAUGCUUUCACAACUUGACUUCAAAAUAUUUGGUUUGGAGACCAUCAAAGAUCAAUAUGUGCAUGAUGCUGAUUUUAAAGAUGUAAUGCAGAAUUGUAAAGAAGGAAGAAUGUGGAACAAGUUUGUUGUUAACGAUGGAUUUGUGUUUCGUGCUAACAAGCUAUGCAUUCCAGCUAGCUCCGUUCGUCUUUUGUUGUUGCAGGAGGCGCAUGGAGGAGGAUUAAUGGGACACUUUGGCGUGAAGAAGACGGAGGACGUACUUGCUACACAUUUCUUUUGGCCAAAGAUGAGACGGGAUGUUAAGCGUUUUAUUGCUCGCUGCACUACAUGUCAAAAAGCUAAGUCACGACUCAAUCCUCAUGGUUUAUAUAUGCCUUUGCCUGUACCUAGUGUUCCUUGGGAGGAUAUAUCUAUGGACUUUGUUUUAGGUUUACCUCGAACAAAGAAGGGGAGGGAUAGCAUAUUUGUUGUCGUGGAUAGAUUCUCGAAAAUGGCACACUUUAUACCAUGUCAUAAAAGCGAUGAUGCUGUUAAUGUUGCUGAUUUGUUUUUUCGUGAAAUUAUUCGCUUGCAUGGUGUGCCAAAUACUAUUGUUUCAGAUCGUGAUACUAAAUUUCUUAGCCACUUUUGGAGAUGUUUAUGGGCUAAGUUGGGGACUAAACUGCUUUUUAGUACUACUUGUCACCCCCAAACUGAUGGACAAACUGAAGUAGUCAAUAGAACGUUGUCUACUAUGCUUAGGGCUGUUUUGCAGAAUAAUAAGAAAAUGUGGGAGGAAUGCUUGCCUCAUAUUGAAUUUGCUUAUAAUCGUUCAAUGCAUUCUACUACUAAGAUGUGCCCUUUUGAAGUUGUGUAUGGUUUCCUACCUCGUGCACCUAUUGAUUUGUUGCCUCUUCCAUCUUCGGAGAAGGUUAAUUUUGAUGCUAAACAACGUGCUGAAUUGAUUUUAAAAAUGCAUGAGUUAACUAAGGAAAACAUUGAGCGCAUGAAUGCUAAAUAUAAACUUGCUGGAGAUAAGGGUAGAAAACAUGUUGUGUUUGCACCUGGAGAUCUUGUUUGGUUACAUUUGCGUAAGGAUAGAUUUCCUGAUUUGCGCAAAUCAAAGUUAAUGCCACGUGCUGAUGGUCCCUUUAAGGUGUUAGAGAAAAUAAAUGAUAAUGCAUAUAAACUUGAGCUGCCUGCAGAUUUUGGGGUUAGUCCCACUUUUAACAUUGCAGAUUUGAAGCCUUAUUUGGGUGAGGAAGAU